UACGUAGGGUGCGAGCGUUGUCCGGAAUUAUUGGGCGUAAAGGGCGCGUAGGCGGCUUGGCAAGUGGAAGGUGAAAUCCCUCGGCUUAACCGAGGAACUGCCCUCCAAACUGCUUCGCUUGAGACCGGGAGAGGUGAGUGGAAUUCCCAGUGUAGCGGUGAAAUGCGUAGAUAUUGGGAGGAACACCAGUGGCGAAGGCGGCCCACUGGACCGGUACUGACGCUGAUGCGCGAAAGCGUGGGGAGCAAACGGG
Molecule: ribosomal RNA, 253 nt
Filed under: uncultured bacterium
Lineage: Bacteria
Description: partial 16S ribosomal RNA
Rfam family: Bacterial small subunit ribosomal RNA
Source: RNAcentral